CUAGGCUCCCUCCUGUUUGCUGAUGAUCUGCUUUUACUAUCAGAAUCUAAGGAGGGUCUCCAAAAUAGUCUAAAUAAAGUUUCCAUGUUUUGUGAAAACUGGCAGCUUUCUCUAAACAUAAAUAAAACAAAAAGUAUGGUCUUUUCAACAACAAAGCAAAAGCCUGAAACAUCUAUACUUGUAUAUAAAAACAAAAAAAUAGAGAAUGUUAUGGAAUAUCCUUACUUGGGUCUGCUGAUUAAAUCAAAUGGUAAUCUCAGUCAUAGUACAGCUGAAUUAACAAAAAAGGCAAAAAAGGUUUUGUUUUCUAUUAAAACAUAUACUAAUUCUCUUGGCAGCCUUCCUAUCAGAGUGUCAAAUAACUUAUUUGACACCUUAGUGAGACCUAUAUUAACUUAUAAUUCUGAGAUAACAUAUUUGGACUCAUAUAUAACAUAUUUCAAAGCUAAAAAAAGAGCUUUGGUUUCUGGAAAAAUUGUGGACCCAUUUAAUUUUAUUGACAAGACUCCAAUAGAAAACUUGCAUCUUGGUUAUUGCAAGUUUACCCUUGGCACUAACAAGAGUGCCUCAAAUUUUGGUACAAGGAACGAAUUGGGAAGACUGCCUAUUGAAUGUCAUAUAAAAACCCAAACUAUUAUGUAUUUAGCAAGGCUUUUCACCUCAAAUUUGAAUCCCUUAUUACAUGAAUCUUUUCAAUUAACUAAAACUUUGGAUUCUAGUGGCUCCUAUUCAUGGUUCACUUUUGCAAAAGAUAUUCUUUC
This 761-nucleotide long non-coding RNA is filed under the name Mytilus galloprovincialis (Mediterranean mussel). Lineage: Eukaryota; Metazoa; Mollusca; Bivalvia; Mytilida; Mytilidae. The record is from RNAcentral.